This 753-nucleotide ribosomal RNA is filed under the name uncultured bacterium. Its description in RNAcentral is "bacterial SSU rRNA". It matches the Rfam family "Bacterial small subunit ribosomal RNA", at positions 57 to 798 of the family's 1533-position model. The record is from RNAcentral.
GCAAGUCGAACGGUAACGCGGGGGCAACCCUGGCGACGAGUGGCGAACGGGUGAGCAACACAUCGGAACGUGUCCUUCGGUGGGGGAUAGCUCGGCGAAAGCCGGAUUAAUACCGCAUGCGAUCCACGGAUGAAAGCGGGGGACCUGGCAACGGGCCUCGCGCGGUUGGAGCGGCCGAUGUCGGAUUAGCUAGUUGGUGGGGUAAGAGCCCACCAAGGCGACGAUCCGUAGCGGGUCUGAGAGGACGGCCCGCCACACUGGAACUGAGACACGGUCCAGACUCCUACGGGAGGCAGCAGUGGGGAAUUUUGGACAAUGGGGGCAACCCUGAUCCAGCCAUGCCGCGUGAGUGAAGAAGGCCUUCGGGUUGUAAAGCUCUUUCGGACGGAACGAAAUGGUUGCGGUGAACAAUCGCCGCUGAUGACGGUACCGUAAGAAGAAGCACCGGCUAACUACGUGCCAGCAGCCGCGGUAAUACGUAGGGUGCGAGCGUUAAUCGGAAUUACUGGGCGUAAAGCGUGCGCAGGCGGNCUCUUAAGACAGGUGUGAAAUCCCCGGGCUUAACCUGGGAAUGGCGCUUGUGACUGGGGGGCUUGGAGUGCGGAAGAGGGAGAUGGAAUUCCUGGUGUAGCAAUGAAAUGCGUAGAGAUCAGGAGGAACACCGAUGGCGAAGGCAGUCUCCUGGGCCAGGCACUGACGCUCAUGCACGAAAGCGUGGGGAGCAAACAGGAUUAGAUACCCUGGUAGUCCCAC